This 496-nucleotide ribosomal RNA is filed under the name uncultured bacterium. RNAcentral's name for it is "partial 16S ribosomal RNA". It matches the Rfam family "Bacterial small subunit ribosomal RNA", at positions 30 to 523 of the family's 1533-position model. The record is from RNAcentral.
AUUGAACGCUGGCGGAAUGCUUUACACAUGCAAGUCGAACGGUAGAGGGGGCAACCCCUCGAGAGUGGCGAACGGGUGAGUAAUAUAUCGGAACGUGCCCAGUCGGGGGGGAUAACGUAGCGAAAGUUACGCCAAUACCGCAUACGAUCUAAGGAUGAAAGCGGGGGAUCGCAAGACCUCGCGCGCUUGGAGCGGCCGAUAUCAGAUUAGGUAGUUGGUGGGGUAAAGGCUAACCAAGCCAACGAUCUGUAGCUGGUCUGAGAGGACGACCAGCCACACUGGAACUGAGACACGGUCCAGACUCCUACGGGAGGCAGCAGUGGGGAAUUUUGGACAAUGGACGCAAGUCUGAUCCAGCCAUUCCGCGUGCAGGAUGAAGGCCCUCGGGUUGUAAACUGCUUUUGUACGGAACGAAAAGGUCUCUCUUAAUACGGGGGGCUCAUGACGGUACCGUAAGAAUAAGCACCGGCUAACUACGUGCCAGCCGCCGCGGUAA